Long non-coding RNA from Bombus terrestris (buff-tailed bumblebee), 1469 nucleotides. RefSeq lists it as uncharacterized. The transcript has 2 exons. The record is from RefSeq and is a predicted model, not a curated record. Lineage: Eukaryota; Metazoa; Arthropoda; Insecta; Hymenoptera; Apidae.
CGAUGCGUUUGCGCUGACAGUGACGUAUUAAUGAUCGUUUAGCGCGUUUACCGUUGUCGACCAACUACAAAUUGGUCAAAGUAGAUUUAAUUGGGAAAGGCAGCUUCGGUCGGUCUUUCAGUCUUCGAAUUCGAUUCGAAUGGAAUCACGAUCGUUUCGUUGCACCAGCCAGACAUUCAAUAACAUCUUUAUCGAACUAAGCACAGAAUAUUUUGAUAAUCGGUCCAGAAUAAACCAGAAAUGUAAAUAUAGGAACGCCGAGUAUACAAAGUUUUCGUGCUAAAGAAGAAUGUAAACGGAUAGCAACACAAAUAAUUCUCAUUAAAUCCAGAUUUUCAUUGACGGAAUAAAUGUAAUUUUUACCACUUAGAAUUACAUCGUUCUGUGAAAUAUAUGUAGUAUAAUAUAUACAGAAUGUCCCAAUGUCGAUGAUGAUAUAACUUGGAGCUGGUGAUCGUACGUGAGGAAUGGCUGGCACAGGCUCAGCGACACGGAGAAAGAGACAAGAACGAGACAAAAAGGAAACGUACCUGGCUGAGAACGGAGCUGCUCAGCUGAGACUUGACAAGAAGGGAUUUAAACACCUCUCGUUCUACAUUUCCACUUGUGGGAGAGCAGAUCUUCUCGUAGACUUCUCUGUAGAACGCCGGUAUGCAGCCUGGUUUGGUGCCGCGACGAGAACCAAAAUAAAAGGACAUCACUUCACGAGAAAUCUCACUUUUCUUCAGAAAAAUUAGCAUUACGCAGAGAGCGAUACAAACGCGUUAUUUACCAAUUAGGAAAAACCCCAGAGAUGUUAAUGAGAAUUAUUAUUGCGUAAACAUGUAUCAACUUUAGAUAGCGAAUGCAAUAGCGUAUAUCGAUGAUCAAUGUUUCGAAACUGGUUUCAAUAAAUUCGUCCAAUUAAAUUUUGCCUAACCGUUUCUUUAACGUAUUCGUAAUAUCAAUUCGUAUUUUACCAUGGAAUGUUAGCGUUAAUCGCGAAUAUUUUGUUGAUAUUCUAAAAAUACAUCCAACGUGUAAUAUUUGAAAGUGUGUUUACAACGCGAUCGAAUAUAAAUAAUGAAACGUUUAAUUCACAAACAGUGAGAAAAAAGUUGUACAAACAAAGCACAACGCGCAAAUAUGAUGCUAUUAAGAGAAGGAAAGAAGGGAAGAGAAAGAAAGAUGGAGUUAGUAACGCUCGACAACGUUAAAAGGGAUACACGUUGAUCUUAAAAACCGGACGACCUCGGGAAGACCUUGUCAAAGGUGCGUACGGUACACGGGUUUAUCAUUUACCGAACGACAGAUCGGUCGACGCCAUAUUGGAUCACUUGUAGAUCAUCCGGUAUCCUGCGAGAUGGUUGCGCCGCGGCUUUUCGAAAAUACAGUCACGUUUCACGAAUUGUCUUUCGUACGAUGUUUUAUGAGCACUCGCGCUGCUUAUUUUGAUGGAAUGACAAUAUGACCUGUCGGCGAGAUACCAA